AUGCAGGGGACUCUUACAACCCUGCUGGUCCUUCCACCUCCCAGCUGGCCACCCUCCCAACCACCCUCCCUGCCCAUGGCUAGACCAAGCCCAAAUGACAGCUUCUCUCUGUCCUGUGUCCCCUGCCCUGACCCCACAUCCAGGAGAAGGCCACACACCCUCCAGCAGCCCUGGUCACCCCACCAGCUCCCACCUGUCCUCACUGCUUCAAAGGCAGGCCUGCCCUUCUGGAACCAUGGCCCUGGAAGCCACUAAGCAGUGCCUCCAGCAAGGCCCCAGGGGCAUUCCCACCCCUCCUCUCCUGGCCGAGACCACAUGAUGGGGUCACUGGAUGGGACAGUGAAAGGCCUUGGGGUCUGGAAGCAACCACCACUGCCCAACUGCCACUGCCCAACCGCUACUGCCCAACUGCCACUGCCCAACUGCCACUGCCCAACUGCCACUGCCCAGCCUGAUGGCUCCACAUCUCAGGAGUAGGCUCUGAUUCCUUGGGGCCCCAGGAGCCUCUCAGGAGUCUACAUCCCAAGAUGUUCUAACUUCCAGAGUCUCCAAGCCCAUCAAGAGCAAGUUUUGCUAAAAGUGUUCUGAGAGCUUAUGAAGCACAUGGACAAGGAAGGGUUGUGCAUCCGGCUUUCCACCUUAAACUGGUUUCUAUGGUGCUUCAUCGAUGGGAUAAGGAUGCAUAGGAGACCCCAGGCCAGGAGUUCCUUCAGGACACACUGUCCUAGGCCUGGGCCCUGGAGGACAUGGUGAUGAGGCGCCCUGAGGCCUCCAUGGGGGACCUGAGAAGCAUGCACUGUGACCUGCACACCCAGGUGGGCUUCAGCACCAAGUCUCCUCCUGUGUCACCAUGCGGGGCAGUAAAUAGUGGGAAGUGCCCAGACCUCACCAGCCCUGCUCCCUGGGCCUUCCUCCAGCCCCUCCUCUCCCUCCUCCUCUAAGAAGCUUCUGAAACGAGGCUGCCUGAGCCUAGGGCAAACGCUGACCUUGGGUUUACUGGACAUGCCUCAGAGACAAUGAGACGUGAGCAAGACUCUUCCAAGCCCCUCCCCUGUACCCUCCUGCUCUCACUCCUGAAAGCCCCAGAAGGACACUGGAGGGGUCAGAUCCAUCUGUGCAAGCCCACAACCACACCUCCAAACCUGAGCAAGCACCCCCACCACCCAGGCCUCUGCAGAUAUCCCCCAGCAUUGAGACCCUCCCCAAGGGGAUGGGCUGGUUCUCCCUGGCCCACAGCCCAGCUCCAGCAGCCCAUGGGUAUAACCCUCCUGAAACAGGAGCCUCAUCCUCCCUCACCCUCACCUGGCUAUGCUGUACCCAAGGCCAAAGCCCAGAGGCAUAAGGGAGCUUCUGCAGAGCCCAGGACAGCAGGCUGCUCUCUGGGGGCCCUGGGGACUCAGAGUGUGGCCAGCCCAUCCCCAGCUCAGGAUAGACCACAGAGUGCUUGGUGAUUCCUGCAUUGGAACUCCCUCUCUAAUCUCCCCAUGGACCUGGACCUCAGAGGCCUGUGGUUUUCACAGUAGAGCUUGGAGCAGAGAUGCUAGGCCCCUGUCACUUCCAUAUGUGCCCUGGCCACCUCUAAGAUCAUAGGACUGGCCUAGCCCCCAAUACCAGACACUGCCCAGCCCCCUGAUAGCCCAGAGGUAGGGCCAGAGACAACUCUCCUGCAUGUGAUGCCUACAGCUGAUCACCCUUGGCAGACAGUGACCAUCACGGCCCAGAAGGAGCCAGGGCAGCACUUGGCAAGCUGCCCCAAAGCCCCAGAGAGCUCCUUAGACAUGGAAAGUCAAUACUGAUGGGGAAGCUGGACACUUGGAGGCCACUGGAGGGAGGGGUGAGCAUGGUGUCCCCACAGCCCAGGCCACCCAGCAUCAUGCCCUGCAUCCAUGGUCCCAACCUGUAGGGCAGAACUCCCCUCUCAACGCACAAUUCCUAGACCCAGAGGGCCCUAGCCCAGACUCAACCUGAGCCCUGAAAGGGAAGGGGCACCAGGGGUGCCUUGGGGCCUCCAGCAGCAGCCAAGAUACACAGGAGAUGGAGCCCCCUGUGGCCCUGGCCAGAACUAGUAUUUGGCUUAAGGCGGAGCAAGCCCCCUUGGAGCACUGCGUACAUACCCGGGGCCUAUGUGUGCCUGGCAAGGCCAAGCUGAUGAUGUUACCAAGCUCAAAGUACCACUGGCCACCUUGGUGAGGGUGGGGCAGAAACACGUGGACCAGCCACCAACCUCAUCCAUUCAAGGAAGCAGAAAUGCCCAGGCUCCUGCAGGAUAAGUGGCCACCACCAGACCACCAAUGGGGCAGAGUUCUGAGGCCCAAGCAGAUGGCACUGGGGCCUGCUUCCAGGGUCCACAAUCUGCUCCAGGACACAAGACUGAAGAAAACUAAGCAAAUGAGAGUCCAGGAGGCUGGAUCCCUCAUCUGCCAUUCUUGGCAGUUGCAUUUUGUGGUCAGAAAAAGUCAGGAAACUUGGCGCUACUCACUGCAGGAGGCUCCAAGGUGGGACCAGAGCUUCCAGCUAGAUUCAGCAAUGCCUAAGAAUGCCUCUUCUUGGGGAAAAGGACCCCUUCCUUGGCCUCAAAGCCCCCACUUAUUUUGAUUAAAGCACAAUAAAGUCUUUGUUGUUA
Molecule: long non-coding RNA, 2623 nt
Organism: Pan troglodytes (chimpanzee)
Lineage: Eukaryota; Metazoa; Chordata; Mammalia; Primates; Hominidae
Exons: 4
Source: RefSeq, a predicted model, not a curated record